This 640-nucleotide ribosomal RNA is filed under the name uncultured bacterium. RNAcentral describes it as "bacterial SSU rRNA". It matches the Rfam family "Bacterial small subunit ribosomal RNA", at positions 8 to 621 of the family's 1533-position model. The record is from RNAcentral.
AGGGUUUGAUCAUGGCUCAGGACGAACGCUGGCGGCGUGCUUAACACAUGCAAGUCGAACGAGGACCUGGUGCUUGCACCAGCGAGCCGAGUGGCGGACGGGUGAGUAACACGUGACCAACCUACCUUUGGGAGGGGGAUAACCUGGGGAAACCCGGACUAAUACCGCAUAUCGUCCACGGGCCGCAUGGCCUGUGGAUAAAAGGGAGCCUCUGCUUGCAAGCUCUCACCCAAAGAGGGGGUCGCGGCGUAUCAGCUAGUUGGUGGGGUAAUGGCCUACCAAGGCAGCGACGCGUAGCGGGUCUGAGAGGACGACCCGUCACAUUGGGACUGAGAUACGGCCCAGACUCCUACGGGAGGCAGCAGUGGGGAAUAUUGCGCAAUGGCCGAAAGGUUGACGCAGCGACGCCGCGUGUGGGAGGACGCCCUUCGGGGUGUAAACCACUGUCAGGGGGGAAGAACUUCGUAGGUGUGAAUAGCGCUUACGGUUGACGGUACCCCCAAAGGAAGCGCCGGCUAACUCCGUGCCAGCAGCCGCGGUAAGACGGAGGGCGCAAGCGUUGUUCGGAAUUACUGGGCGUAAAGGGCAGGUAGGUGGCCCGUUAAGUCUUCUGUGAAAAUCCGGAGCUCAACUCCGUGAA